AUUUAAUAUGGCAGAUUAGUGCAAUGGAUUUAAAUUCCUUAUAAAAAGAAAUCAACUCUUUUAUUAAAA
Molecule: transfer RNA, 69 nt
Filed under: Solenopsis saevissima
Lineage: Eukaryota; Metazoa; Arthropoda; Insecta; Hymenoptera; Formicidae
Description: tRNA-Leu
Rfam family: tRNA
About the family: Transfer RNA (tRNA) molecules are approximately 80 nucleotides in length. Their secondary structure includes four short double-helical elements and three loops (D, anti-codon, and T loops). Further hydrogen bonds mediate the characteristic L-shaped molecular structure. tRNAs have two regions of fundamental functional importance: the anti-codon, which is responsible for specific mRNA codon recognition, and the 3' end, to which the tRNAs corresponding amino acid is attached (by aminoacyl-tRNA synthetases). tRNAs cope with the degeneracy of the genetic code in two manners: having more than one tRNA (with a specific anti-codon) for a particular amino acid; and 'wobble' base-pairing, i.e. permitting non-standard base-pairing at the 3rd anti-codon position.
Source: RNAcentral